UAGUUGGAUGGUACGCUCUAGGGACCC
RNAcentral lists this non-coding RNA (27 nucleotides) under Rattus norvegicus (Norway rat). The record is from RNAcentral. Lineage: Eukaryota; Metazoa; Chordata; Mammalia; Rodentia; Muridae.